GUGGGGAAUUUUGGACAAUGGGCGAAAGCCUGAUCCAGCCAUGCCGCGUGCAGGAUGAAGGCCUUCGGGUUGUAAACUGCUUUUGUACGGAACGAAAAGACUCCUUCUAAUAAAGGGGGUCCAUGACGGUACCGUAAGAAUAAGCACCGGCUAACUACGUGCCAGCAGCCGCGGUAAUACGUAGGGUGCAAGCGUUAAUCGGAAUUACUGGGCGUAAAGCGUGCGCAGGCGGUUAUAUAAGACAGAUGUGAAAUCCCCGGGCUCAACCUGGGAACUGCAUUUGUGACGGUAUAGCUAGAGUACGGUAGAGGGGGAUGGAAUUCCGCGUGUAGCAGUGAAAUGCGUAGAUAUGCGGAGGAACACCGAUGGCGAAGGCAAUCCCCUGGACCUGUACUGACGCUCAUGCACGAAAGCGUGGGGAGCAAACAGGAUUAGAAACCCUUGUAGUCC
Molecule: ribosomal RNA, 450 nt
Filed under: uncultured bacterium
Lineage: Bacteria
Description: partial 16S ribosomal RNA
Rfam family: Bacterial small subunit ribosomal RNA
Source: RNAcentral